This 243-nucleotide ribosomal RNA is filed under the name uncultured bacterium. RNAcentral's name for it is "partial 16S ribosomal RNA". It matches the Rfam family "Bacterial small subunit ribosomal RNA", at positions 28 to 248 of the family's 1533-position model. The record is from RNAcentral.
GACGAACGCUGGCGGCGUGCCUAAUACAUGCAAGUUGAACGAAGUUGCUUUAACUGGUGCUUGCACCGACUUAAACAACUGAGUGGCGAACGGGUGAGUAACACGUGGGUAACCUGCCCCAAAGUGGGGAUAACAUUUGGGAAACAGAUGCUAAUACCGCAUAACCACAGAAACCUCAUGGUUUACUGUGUCAAAGAUGGUUUCGGCUAUCACUUUGGGAUGGACCCGCGGCGUAUUAGCUAG